UGCUGUGAAAUACCUCUUUAAUUAGGUCCCAUUUGUCAAUUUUUGCUUUUGUUUCAAUUGCUUUUCUUAUCUUCAUCAUAAAAUCAUUGCCAAUUCUGGCUGGGCACUGUGGCUCACGCCUGUAA
Nomascus leucogenys (northern white-cheeked gibbon) is the source of this 125-nucleotide long non-coding RNA. RefSeq lists it as uncharacterized. The record is from RefSeq and is a predicted model, not a curated record. NCBI's taxonomy places the organism in Eukaryota, Metazoa, Chordata, Mammalia, Primates, Hylobatidae. The transcript has 3 exons.